Molecule: ribosomal RNA, 271 nt
Filed under: uncultured archaeon
Lineage: Archaea
Description: partial 16S ribosomal RNA
Rfam family: Archaeal small subunit ribosomal RNA
Source: RNAcentral
AUUAGAUACCCGGGUAGUCCCAGCUGUAAACGAUGCUCGCUAGGUGUCAGGCAUGGCGCGACCGUGUCUGGUGCCGCAGGGAAGCCGUGAAGCGAGCCACCUGGGAAGUACGGCCGCAAGGCUGAAACUUAAAGGAAUUGGCGGGGGAGCACAACAACGGGUGGAGCCUGCGGUUUAAUUGGACUCAACGCCGGACAACUCACCGGGGGCGACAGCAAUAUGUAGGCCAAGCUGAAGACUUUGCCUGAAUCGCUGAGAGGAGGUGCAUGGC